GAUUCUUCCGCUCUUUGGCCUUGUGUUGAUCAUCAUCCUGGGUAUCCUUUUUAUCCAUUUGAUUCCCUAUUCGAUUUCAGCGUUCUUUCCUUUCUUCUACACAUCGUUGCUCGCAGUUCCUUCAUUUUUUGCCCAUGCAUUCAUCGCUCUGCGCACCUCCUCUUCGAUUUGACCUAUUUCUCUUCGAUUCCAGUGUUCUUAUUCUUCUUUCGGACAGCGCCGCUCUUUUUGGCCUAUAUAUUGCGUUUGAAAUCGUUUGUUUGUUAUAUGUGCUAAAUUUUUGGGGUUAUUUUGUCAGCGUUGUUCUUGCUGCACAAACUAUCGAGACGUGAAUCAGAGCAGCUUCCUCAACCUCAAACGCCAAUUCACACGAAGGUAAUCUCAAUUUUGAUUUAUUCAAAGUUACGAUCUUUAAAUUGGAAAAUAAAAUGAAUUGGGGGAGCUUCUUUGUUCGCCUGAUUGGAGCACAAGUUUCAAUUAGGGUUUGAUAGAUGUGUUGGGGUACCGAGAAAUUGGGAAAAUUGGGUUUGUAUCGAUUUUGGAAACGCAUAAUUCACACCAAAGUAAUCUUAAUUUUGGAAAUUGGAAAUAUUGUCCGUAAACCCUAUUUACCGUUCUUCUGCCGAUGCUAUGUGAUAUUACCCAUAAAAUGCAUAAGUACCAGCUACAAUGAUGCCGAGGAAUCUUUUUACAAAUUUAUUUACUGAAACUGAAAUUUACCUCUAAAUUGUGAUCAAAGAAACCGAAAUUUUAUCAGUGAAUUGGAGAUUAGAAAUGUACUUCUUUUAUAAUUAUUAUAAAAAAAAAAUUGAAUUCCUAGAACUCUUGAAAUGAAGAAAAGGAGUAUGUGGGAGGUAUGGCCAUGGUUGUGAUUCUGAGAAUUUCUGAUCAUGCAACAAGCUGUUAAUCUGUCAAAAGCUGUUGCCAAGCACUUGGUAAUCGUUAAGCUGUCCGAGGAGAAUAUAGUUUAAAUAUCUUUUGCACCAAGUUAAGUGUAAUCAUUUUAUCACUUGGUAAUCGUUUAUUAGACGUUGAAUACAUGUUAAGUGUAUUUUUUCAGUUGUUUGGAUGGUCCUUUUAUAAUAUAGGUGAGCCUGAUUUAAAUAGA
Molecule: long non-coding RNA, 1108 nt
Organism: Pyrus x bretschneideri (Chinese white pear)
Lineage: Eukaryota; Viridiplantae; Streptophyta; Magnoliopsida; Rosales; Rosaceae
Exons: 4
Source: RefSeq, a predicted model, not a curated record